CGGGGUGUCGUAUAACGGUAGUAUGUAUGCUUUGGGAGCAUGCGGCCUGGGUUCAACUCCCAGCACCCCGACCA
RNAcentral lists this transfer RNA (74 nucleotides) under Candidatus Nealsonbacteria bacterium CG_4_8_14_3_um_filter_37_23. Its description in RNAcentral is "tRNA-Pro". It matches the Rfam family "tRNA". From Rfam's summary of the family: Transfer RNA (tRNA) molecules are approximately 80 nucleotides in length. Their secondary structure includes four short double-helical elements and three loops (D, anti-codon, and T loops). The record is from RNAcentral. Lineage: Bacteria; Candidatus Nealsoniibacteriota.